ACCAGACGCUAAUAGACGGUACCCGCAGAAUAAGCACCGGCUAACUACGUGCCAGCAGCCGCGGUAAGACGUAGGGUGCGAGCGUUAAUCGGAAUUACUGGGCGUAAAGCGUGCGCAGGCGGCUUUGUAAGACAGGUGUGAAAUCCCCGGGCUUAACCUGGGAACUGCACUUGUGACUGCAAGGCUAGAGUGUGUCAGAGGGAGGUGGAAUUCCGCGUGUAGCAGUGAAAUGCGUAGAUAUGCGGAGGAACACCGAUGGCGAAGGCAGCCUCCUGGGAUAACACUGACGCUCAUGCACGAAAGCGUGGGGAGCAAACAGGAUUAGAUACCCUGGUAGUCCACGCCCUAAACGAUGUCAACUAGUUGUCGGGGAUUCGUUUCCUUGGUAACGCAGCUAACGCGUGAAGUUGACCGCCUGGGGAGUACGGCCGCAAGGUUAAAAACUCAAAGGAAUUGACGGGGGAC
This 465-nucleotide ribosomal RNA is filed under the name uncultured bacterium. RNAcentral describes it as "bacterial SSU rRNA". It matches the Rfam family "Bacterial small subunit ribosomal RNA", at positions 457 to 921 of the family's 1533-position model. The record is from RNAcentral.